UCUUGGUCGUCCUGCGGGCUGUCUUGCAAGCCGUCAUGCAGGCCACCUUGACGGUAACGUUGCAGGUCGCCCUGCCGGGCUUCUCGCAAGACGACAUCCUCGUC
Molecule: microRNA precursor, 104 nt
Filed under: Echinops telfairi (small Madagascar hedgehog)
Lineage: Eukaryota; Metazoa; Chordata; Mammalia; Afrosoricida; Tenrecidae
Description: microRNA 431 (ENSETEG00000021131.1)
Rfam family: mir-431 microRNA precursor family (bases 8-93)
Source: RNAcentral